This 385-nucleotide ribosomal RNA is filed under the name uncultured bacterium. RNAcentral describes it as "bacterial SSU rRNA". It matches the Rfam family "Bacterial small subunit ribosomal RNA", at positions 30 to 413 of the family's 1533-position model. The record is from RNAcentral.
AUUGAACGCUGGCGGCAUGCCUUACACAUGCAAGUCGAACGGCAGCACGGGAGCUUGCUCCUGGUGGCGAGUGGCGAACGGGUGAGUAAUGCAUCGGAACGUGCCCUGAAGUGGGGGAUAACGUAGCGAAAGUUACGCUAAUACCGCAUAUUCUGUGAGCAGGAAAGCAGGGGACCUUAGGGCCUUGCGCUUUGGGAGCGGCCGAUGUCGGAUUAGCUAGUUGGUGAGGUAAAGGCUCACCAAGGCGACGAUCCGUAGCGGGUCUGAGAGGAUGAUCCGCCACACUGGGACUGAGACACGGCCCAGACUCCUACGGGAGGCAGCAGUGGGGAAUUUUGGACAAUGGGCGCAAGCCUGAUCCAGCCAUGCCGCGUGAGUGAAGAAG